GUGGAGGAGAAGAUGCUCGACAGCAGGUGGACGAGGCGGCCAUGACGGUUCCCAUGCUUAAGGAGUGCUGGGUGUUGCUGCUGAGAAGAGGCAGAUGGGGUAGCAUCAGCAUCUCUCCCACUUGUUGGAUUGUGUGUGUGUGUGUGUGUGUGUGUGUGUGUGUGUGUGUGUGUGUGUGUGUGUGUGUGUGUGUGUGUGUGUGUGUUCUGGUCCAUUUGAAAGCUCUCAUUGGUUUGCAUGCUUCAUGUAAGUUACCCAUUCCUUUUCGUUUUAAUGUUUGUUUUAUUGAUAUUCAUAUUCUUAAUAUACAGUAUAAUUGUGUAUUUAUUUACUUUAUUUUUUCUAUUUAUUUUGUACAGUUAAGUUAAGCAAUUUAUUUUAUUUUGUACAGUUAAGUAAUUAUUGACUCAUUGUAAAUAUAAGUGUUUAACUUCAAUUGUUAUGUGUGUCAUCACUUUUUAUUUUAUAUUCAAAAUUAAAUGGAUGAAAAUCC
Molecule: long non-coding RNA, 493 nt
Organism: Gadus morhua (Atlantic cod)
Lineage: Eukaryota; Metazoa; Chordata; Actinopteri; Gadiformes; Gadidae
Exons: 2
Source: RefSeq, a predicted model, not a curated record